RNAcentral lists this transfer RNA (73 nucleotides) under Gracilaria multipartita. RNAcentral's name for it is "tRNA-Gly". It matches the Rfam family "tRNA". From Rfam's summary of the family: Transfer RNA (tRNA) molecules are approximately 80 nucleotides in length. The record is from RNAcentral. Lineage: Eukaryota; Rhodophyta; Florideophyceae; Gracilariales; Gracilariaceae.
GCGAAAAUAGCUCAAUAGGUAGAGUACAAUCUUGCCAAGAUUGUGGUUGAGGGUUCGAAUCCCUUUUUUCGCU